This 156-nucleotide small RNA is filed under the name Gopherus agassizii (Agassiz's desert tortoise). RNAcentral describes it as "TUC338 (ENSGAGG00000010257.1)". Lineage: Eukaryota; Metazoa; Chordata; Testudines; Testudinidae. The record is from RNAcentral.
UAGAUUGGUAGAGCCUGAAGCCUCUCAUUAUCCUCAGAAGAGCUAUAGCACAAAUUGCAGCCUCUGUCAAUUUCUUUCUCCAUCUUGAUCUGGUGGGACCACCUCUAAGGGUGAAAGGAUAAUUUUGUCUCCAUGCUCAUUUCAUUCCUGGCCAUU